AUUAAUUUGGCAGAAUAGUGCAUAAGAUUUAGGUUCUUAGAAUAUAAUAAUUUAUUGUAAUUAAUA
RNAcentral lists this transfer RNA (66 nucleotides) under Yuukianura szeptyckii. RNAcentral describes it as "tRNA-Leu". The record is from RNAcentral. Lineage: Eukaryota; Metazoa; Arthropoda; Collembola; Poduromorpha; Neanuridae.